CGAUCUCUGAAAUUUACUUGAACAAAAUUCGAGUUUUCAGACUUGAAUAGAAACUCUCAAAACUUCAAUAAUCCCUUGAGGAUAUAAUCACAAGGUUUUGGUCCCAAUUACUACUUCAGUUGAACCUGAUAUCAUUCUUUAGUACAGUGGUACAAGUUUUAAAAAAAUGUAUCAUUGGAUAUUCCAACGCAUGAACAAAUUCAGCAUCUAAAAACCAAAUUAGACAUCCAACUUAAUUUUAACAAAAACGUUUUGCCAUGGUUGAUAUUCCAGCUACCAUCUGUUGGUUGAUAUUUGCAAUGCCAUGGUUGAUAUUUGCAAUGCAGGUUUGGUCAGAGCACCAUAAUCUGCAAAAAUGAGAAAAAUCUGAGCCUUGCUGCAGUCACUGGAUAAUUGUUUAUAAUAACUAAAAUCACGACAGCAGGGUAACUCACCAGAUUUACCAUUUUUUAGAGCUUGAUCUCCUUUUAAGUUUGUAACCUUUUUAUAAUUACUAACUCUAUAAUGCACAAAACUCCUGCUAAAUAAGAAUUUGAAAUCUACCUCUGUUUUUCUUUUCUUGGUAGCCUGCAUUUAUGGUUGGGGGGGGGGAGGGGGAGGCGGAGAAAUGAAAAUAAAAUGUAUAUGGUCAUAAUCAAAAGAAAUGGUAUGAAAAAUUCGGAGUGCUUACCUACUGUUGAAAUUAACGGAAUUCAUCAUGGAAAUCAUAAUCCUCGUCUUCUUCAUCAUUGAAAACAGCACUGUAAAAUACAUAUGGGUUCUCAAUCAUCUCCAUCAAGGACAGCCGCCCAUCUUUAUCUGUAUCAGCCUGCCAUGUGCUUCACACAAUGUUCAAUGACAGCUUCCAUACUUAAUAACAUGCAAAUUUGCAUACCUAUUGUUAUAACAGAAAGCAAAGACAGCCCAACUGAUUAUCUUCAUUUCUAAUUAAUCAUAGGGUUUCUUCUCAUCAAAGUUUACACUGUAUUUCAACUACUAUCUCAAUGUGCCAAUAGUUUUAAGGAACCAGGUAGCAAAGACAACCGAUCCUCCAGAAGGAACAAGAUCAAACAGGAGGGGGGAAACAGAUAAUUACAUAAUGGCAUGCAACAGCAGUCAAUUUUAAUGACAUUGAGAGCAUCUUGAUAAAGAAGCACCUAUACCCUGAGCAAAUACAUACAUAUUGAAAAACAAGAAGUCUAAUGUAAUGCCUUACUGAAUUAAGAAAAUAACAUCUGAAAACCUUCUAUUUCCCAUAUGAUAAAAAAUAGUGGCAAGCAUGCGUUGCCUCUGCCUUACAGUUUUACACCAUGCGAAAAGAGAUAUUACGGUUGCACAAAAACAUUGAAUAGAACAGAACUGGUUUGUGUUCCUUUUGGUUCUUAUUUAACAAUGAUCCAGUUCCAGUAGCAAGAAAAGUUGGCAUAGCCAAGGAACAGCAUUCUUUUGGCACAUAACAAAAUCUAUGUGCAGAAUACAUGUGCUUGGAGUUGGAGAAGGCAACUGAUGCAUUGGUUUUUCAACAUAUAUUAACAUAACAAAAUUCUGCACAGAAUUUAUUGAAUUUGCCACUCUAGCCCUCUUAUCUAAGUCACAACAGUUCGUGAAGACCACUCAAAUUAGCUGCCACUCAAAUUAGCUUUACUUAGACUUGAACACUAUCUUCGUAGGAUGUCAUAUAGCAGGUAAAGAGUGGUAAAAGUUAGGGGUAGGAUCCAAAUACAUAGAUGAACCUAUUGUAGCUUUUUUACUUUAGUGCUUUUACUAAAUUAUAUUCUUUGUUUAUGGACAUCAUCAAUAACCAUGUUGCCAGUGGACUGCUUCAUCCAGAAGAUUUCUUCAAUUUAUUAGCCAAUGUAAAACUGCACUGUUGAGUUAUUAUUCUAUGAUAGGAGAACAAAAGGAGUAAUUAUAAUAUCUAAAGGUAGCUCUUGCAUAAUUCCUAUGUACCUUGGUUAGA
Molecule: unclassified non-coding RNA, 1939 nt
Filed under: Hevea brasiliensis (rubber tree)
Lineage: Eukaryota; Viridiplantae; Streptophyta; Magnoliopsida; Malpighiales; Euphorbiaceae
Source: RNAcentral